RNA transcript from Propithecus coquereli (Coquerel's sifaka), 1284 nucleotides. It is a transcript of the gene named single-strand selective monofunctional uracil DNA glycosylase pseudogene, with no coding region annotated. The transcript has a single exon. NCBI's taxonomy places the organism in Eukaryota, Metazoa, Chordata, Mammalia, Primates, Indriidae. The record is from RefSeq and is a predicted model, not a curated record.
GGACCAGGUGACAGCAGCAUGGCUGUGCCCCAGGCUUUCCCACUGGGAUCCCUCCAUGAGCCUACAGGUGCCCUGAUGGAGCCCCAGCCCUGCCCUCGAAGCUUGGCUGAGGGCUUCCUGGAGGAGGAGCUUCGGCUCAAUGCUGAGCUGAGCCAGUUGCAGUUUUCAGAGCCAGUGGGCAUCAUCUACAAUCCUGUGGAGUAUGCGUGGGAGCCACAUCGCAACUAUGUGACUCGCUAUUGCCAGGACCCCAAGUGCCCUUUGGGGAAGUGAGCAUGGUCCGGGACUGGUUGGGCAUUGGGGGGCCUGUGCUGACCCCUCCCCAAGAGCACCCUAAACGACCAGUGCUGGGACUGGAGUGCCCACAGUCAGAGGUGAGCGGUGCCCGAUUCUGGGGCUUUUUCCAGAACCUCUGUGGACAGCCUGAGGUCUUCUUCCGUCACUGCUUUGUCCACAAUCUGUGUCCUCUGCUCUUCCUGACUCCCAGCGGGCGCAACCUCACCCCUGCUGAGCUGCCUGCCAAGCAACGAGAGCAGCUUCUUGGGAUCUGUGACGCAGCCCUCUGCCGGCAGGUGCAGCUGCUGGGGGUGCGGCUGGUGGUGGGAGUGGGGCGACUGGCGGAGCAGCGGGCACGGCGGGCUCUGUCAGGCCUGAUGCCAGAGGUCCAGGUGGAGGGGCUGCUGCAUCCCUCUCCCCGUAACCCCCAGGCCAACAAGGGCUGGGAGGCAGUAGCCAAGGAAAGACUGAAUGAGUUGGGGCUGCUGUCCCUGCUAUCGAAAUGAAUACCCCUGGGGCCUGGCAUAGGACGUAUUCAAGGCUUCCGAGUCAUUUUUGAGCAAGCAGAUGACAAGACACCUCCUGGAUGAGAGCCAAAAGGUCCUGGGCUCCCCGGUUGCUGGGAAACAUGUUCUUUGAUCUGUUGACUGUCUUCCAACCUGCCGUGGCAGUUUUGACACUACUUCUGUUCGCCUUCCUGACUCCUGCUUUCUUCACCUUCCUUUGAGCAUUGCCCCUUUUGUGGUAUCUGACUCCACAGAGAAUCGACAGAAGGUGGGCUCUGUUGCACUCGCAGACUGCUCUACCUCAUUGUUUCCUUGGGAAACGCUAUUCAGCGGAGAGUGACCUAGACAGUGACUUCUAAGGUCAUAUUUGCUGUUUCAGAGGAAUCUUGCCAGGAUCCCUACCCAUCCUGCUGCUAACGCCUUUCCUCAGAGGGCCAGGACAUACAUGGGACAUGAUAUUAAAAGUGAACUUAUGGGAAGCUGAGGCUGGACCAGAGGGAGA